Long non-coding RNA from Fukomys damarensis (Damara mole-rat), 2180 nucleotides. RefSeq lists it as uncharacterized. Lineage: Eukaryota; Metazoa; Chordata; Mammalia; Rodentia; Bathyergidae. The transcript is spliced from 4 exons. The record is from RefSeq and is a predicted model, not a curated record.
UAUGAAAAGGAAUUUUUAUAAAUAUUUUAGCACAUAUUAUAGUAUUUCAUUUUCUAUAGAAGUCAUUAGAUUUUAUCAUCUUUCUGUGCAGUGGUAAAACUUGUUUGUAAUUUAUAAACAAGUUUGAGUUGUAAAUUUACAACUUAAGUUUGUAAAUUACAACUCAGAAGCCAUAUUCUCCAUCAGUGGCUGACAUUGGCAAAGUUGAAAAUGAGUUAAAAAUCAUGAGGGGUAAAUGGUGGUUGGAAAUGUAUUCAGCAAAUUACUGCUCUGCACACAUUGCCUUAGCUUAACACGGCCCCUCCUCAUACCGCAGUGUAGGAAACGAGGGUCUCAGCUCCUCGCCCACCAGAUUUACACUGAGCACAUUCCUUCCCGUGCUCUUCGCUCGUCACACGCUUCUCCAUGGCUACAGCCAUUCGCUUUCUUUUUAAUCUUUACAGUGUUUAGUAUUUGCCGCUAUCAAUGAAUGCAAUAGUUCUCCAAUUUUUUGAAAGUCUCAGAUCCUUUUGGAGAUGUGGUAUAUACAAGAGCUUGGCUAUUCAGAUAAGCACGUAGAUUUCUGAGGAAUUUUUAUACACGUUCAGAAGGUUCAUGAAGGUUCUUUGAACUCCAGGUUCUAAACCCAUAGCAGGAAAAGGAAAAAAUAAACUUGACUAUGUUUAUUCUAGACAGAAUUAGCAAGGCAGCUGUGAGAGAAAUUUAAAAAUAGAGCAUAUUUGAAAAAUCUAUAUUCAGUUACCUACUGUACAUCUCCAUUUGGACAUCUCUGAGGGCAGUUGUCAGUUUCCUCCUUCCACCCCGACUGGUCUCUCUUCCAGUCUUCCUCUCCCUGGUCAUUGGCACUGUCCAGUUGGAGCCUAAACCAGAGCCACUGCUAGCUGUCUCCUUCCCUUUCCGUCCCUUGGUCAGCUGGUUCUGUCAGUUUUACCUCCAUCACCAUUCUACAUGGGUCAGGUUCUCCUCUCUUGCUCCUUGUCUAGUCCAGACUGUGGCCUCAAAGAGAGACAAGUGUUAACUGACCCUUAGGGUGUUUUAAAGUCAUCGGUGUCUUUAAAAUGCACAGAGCUCUUCCUCCUCUUCUGUUCCUUCCCUCCCUGGUCAGUUCAUUCCCCAAGGCAUUAAGUGCCAGGAGCACAGUGCAGGGGAGAGUAGCUUGUUUGAGUGUAGCCUACCGGUAGGAAGAGCUUAGUUUGAGGAUCAGAAAUAGUGGAGGAACUUUACAUACAAAAAUGUUCAUUAUUUGUGUUAUUUAAAAACUGAAAAGCCUAGAUUGUUUGGGAGGUUUGAUUGUCCAUACUGAAGACCUAUUGCAUGAUGCGUAAUAAACUAAGCUUAGACCUAGUAGCUUAAAAGCAUUCCGUGUUUGUUUAUGUGCCUAUUUAUUCAGGUUGUGUCAACAGGGUGGCCGGGACCUGGGCUGAGGGUUGGCUGGGCUUGGUGCAGACUUCAGCUGUGUUUGGGUCUGUUGCACAGGUGGCAUCCGGGGCCGUCCACAGGCUCAGCUGCUCCCUGGGUUGUGCUGUCCUUGAGGUGAAGGCGUGGACACAAAAUAUACAUAAAUUUACUGAGUUUCAAAACAGUAAGAUAGCCAUCUCAUUUCCAACUCCCAGUAAAAUUCUGGAGGAUCUGAAUGGAUAAUUUGAUUAAACAGUGCUCUAUAUUAGAAUGGUGUUUUUGGCCCAGUCUGGCCUCUCCGAAUCCUCCAGAACACCAAGAUAAUGGCCAAUAAGAGACUGUCUGCUCUCUUUGGCCACUGGACCCUAAUUGGAAAGAUCAACCAUAAACACAGGAAGAUGCUGGUAUACACGUGCAGGAGCGCAAGAGAUCUGUUCACACUCUAGAGGCCCAGAGAAUCUAGCUGAGAGCCUGGGUCCCACAGCAGUGUCCUGCACAAGUCCAUCUGAAGGUCUGGGGCCCAUGGUGAUGUCUCAUGCUUGUCUGUAUCGAGGAUCUGCACCCAAGAGACCCAAAGGCCAGCAGCAGAAGCUAGAAAGUCUGCGCCAGAGAGAUGAAGGAUCUGUGCCUUCAAGCUGAGCGAUCCGCACUGUAGCCAGGAAGCAACAUUCAAGGCGGAGAUCAGGGCUGUCCUGACAAGAACAGGAGCCAUUCCCAGCACAGUGAGGUCCUGAGUUCCUAUCCGAUGAGAACAGCCAAGUUCACAUCAGGAGAACCAACCU